GACGAACGCUGGCGGCGCGCCUAACACAUGCAAGUCGAGCGAUAAAAUCGUAACCGGUCUCGUCGGAGUGCAGAUAAAAUGGAAUAGCGCCCGUCGGUUGAGUAACACGUGCGGAACCGGCCUUUCACAACGGGAAAGCCCCGCGAACCAGGGAUUAAUAGCCUAUGACACAGUUCCCUCGCAUGUAACUAGUGGUAAAGCUCAUGGGGUGACAGGUGGGCCCGCGCCAGAUUAGCUAGUUGGUAGGGUAACAGCCCACCAAGGCCACGAUCCAUAGCAGGGCUGAGAGGAUGAUCGGCCACAUUGGGACUGAGACACGGUCCAGACUCCUACGGGAGGCAGCAGUGGGGAAUAUUGGACAAUGGGCGAAAGCCUGAUCCAGCGAUGCCGCGUGAGUGAUGAAGGCCUUCGGGUUGUAAAGCUCUGUUACACGGGAAGAUAAUGACGGUACCGGAGGAAGAAGCCCCGGCUAACUCCGUG
This 480-nucleotide ribosomal RNA is filed under the name uncultured bacterium. Its description in RNAcentral is "partial 16S ribosomal RNA". It matches the Rfam family "Bacterial small subunit ribosomal RNA", at positions 28 to 507 of the family's 1533-position model. The record is from RNAcentral.